RNAcentral lists this long non-coding RNA (797 nucleotides) under Helianthus annuus (common sunflower). The record is from RNAcentral. Lineage: Eukaryota; Viridiplantae; Streptophyta; Magnoliopsida; Asterales; Asteraceae.
UUCAAUUCAAUCCCUCAAAAGAACAUUCCGGUCACGGUUAUGCCUCUUUAACCUCAUCGAACUGUCAACCAUUGAAUUAGGGUUUUUGAAUUGUUUAUCAUCAAUUGUUCAACGAUGAACGACGUACAAAGGACGUCCACAAUCGAAUAACUGCUGUCGUUUUGCUCAUACCCACAUCUUCGAUUUAUUCCAUUUGAUUCGUGUAACCGGGUUGCGUAUUCGUAAGUACAAUAAUGUGCUCGUGGCAUACAGUGAUACAACACAAGUGCCUUCAACAACUACCGAUGUACAUCAAAUCGAGCCUUGUGUUUUUGCAGGAGAUUCUGAAAAAUCACUAAUCGAGCCAUUAUUUUAUUUGUGGGUUUCCCUGAUUAUGCUAAAUCAGACUGGAGGUCGGUUCACCAUUUGGGAUUGAUGCAAUGAAUGAUGGAAUAAUUGGUCUGGACUAUCAUGCUCUGUAGCUUUGGCAAAAAACCGGAUGGGUCAGAACGGGUAAAUGCAUAAACAAGAACUGGCAAAAAACCGGAUGGGUCAGAACGGGUUAAUGCAUAAACAAGAACCAAAAGAUGAAUCUGUUAGAGUGCAACUUCUUCUGUUGAGAGCCACCGACAAAACUUAGAAGCUAUGAUGCGGAGUAUAAAAAAACUACUUGUUGAAGAUAGAGAUGAGUAGAUAGUUUUCUUUUCUCUUUAUUAUUGUAGUUGUCACUUUGUGUUGAAUAUAUUGUUAUUUGAUUUUGGACAAACAUGUACACCAUUUCACUAUUAAUGAUACCGAGUUUGGGCGUAACUACGACU